This 117-nucleotide non-coding RNA is filed under the name Chlorocebus sabaeus (green monkey). Lineage: Eukaryota; Metazoa; Chordata; Mammalia; Primates; Cercopithecidae. The record is from Rfam by way of RNAcentral.
GCUGGGUGUGGUGGCUCAUGCCUGUAAUCCCAGCACUUUGGGAGGCUGAGGUGGGUGGAUCACUUGAGGCCAGGAGUUCGAGACCAGCCUGGCCAACAUGGUGAAACCCCAUCUCUA